This 251-nucleotide long non-coding RNA is filed under the name Mytilus galloprovincialis (Mediterranean mussel). The record is from RNAcentral. Lineage: Eukaryota; Metazoa; Mollusca; Bivalvia; Mytilida; Mytilidae.
GAUCCCUUUAGGAGUUAUUGCCCUUUAUAGUCAAUUUUUAACCAUUUUUCGUAAAUCUUAGUUAUCUUUUACAAAAAUCUUCUCCUCUGAAACUAGGCCAAAUUAAACCAAACUUGGCCACAAUCAUCAUUGGGGUAUCUAGUUUAAAAAUUGUGUCCGAUGACCCGGCCAACCAACCAAGAUGGCCGCCAUGGCUAAAAAUAGAACAUAGGGGUGAAAUGUAGAUUUUGGCUUAUAACUCUGAAACCGCA